UCCCUCCUAAAAGCACUUACUUUGCCUGCUCUCAGUGGCUGGGUGAGUUGUCAAGGAAGGGUAAAGAAAUACAUUACCUUUGGGUGAGAUGGGAGCUACACUGUGCUCCUGAAUCUCAAUCCGUGGUGUGACAUUU
This is a small nucleolar RNA of Callorhinchus milii (elephant shark), 136 nucleotides long. The record is from Ensembl. NCBI's taxonomy places the organism in Eukaryota, Metazoa, Chordata, Chondrichthyes, Chimaeriformes, Callorhinchidae.